This 467-nucleotide long non-coding RNA is filed under the name Androctonus crassicauda. The record is from RNAcentral. Lineage: Eukaryota; Metazoa; Arthropoda; Arachnida; Scorpiones; Buthidae.
GUUAUAUUUAGCAUAUUCCAAUAGAACAAACAAAAUACCAUCAUAAGUCAUAUAUAUAUAUGCAGAUAAAAAUAUAUUAAGGAUUUACAUAUCUAGAAUAAUUUUGUAGUCAUUGUUUUAUGAAGUUAAAUAGUUCUAUAUCGGUGUUUUCCAAACUGUGGGAUGCACCCCACUAGGGAGAUAUUGUCUAUGGCAAAGGAGUGUGAAAGAAUUAAGAAAAACAUGAUUUUUGAGACAAACAUAAAAAAAAUUCAAAUUGGUGUCAGAAGAAAAAGAAUCUGCAAAAGAGUUAUAAAUAGAGUUAUAAGAGUUUAUAAAUCCAUGUAUUCAAAGACUUUCUGCUAUAGCUGUUUUAAAGACAAUAUAUCAAUCUGGUUUAGUGACUGAAAAUGAAUUGAGAGUAGUGAUAUCUUCAAUGACACUUUAAUUUGAAAGAAUUUGUGUUGAAAAAUAAGCCUACCCAUUGC